AUGGGCUACAUGGUCGUGCUCCACCGGCACCUGUGGCUGACACUCACCGAGCUGAAGGACGCGGACAGGAGGGCGCUGCUCAAUGCUCCUGUAUCUCCAUUUGGCCUAUUUGGAAACGCAGUAGACGGUAUUGUGGAGUGUUUCUCAGAGGCACAGAAAUGCUCUAAGGCGAUGAGUAACUUCCUGCCACGCCGGGCUGCAGCGCAGCCUCCUCCGUGCAGUAGAUCCUCAUCUGCUUCCAACCAGCUGUCGAAGCGGCCCCCCUCUGUUUCCACUUCAUCAGCACCAGACCCGGAGCCGUCUGUUCGCGCCAAAACUCCUUUGCAGAGGACACAGAAAGAAAAUUGUCACAGAUUUCUAGAAAGGCGGAAACCGUCCCGGGGGAGCUCCUCCAUGGGAACAAAAGCCUCGUUCCUGACGAGAGGGUACAGAGGAGCACGAUCACGAUCCUCUCUAACACACAGCGCUCCCACUCGUCCCGUGAGCUUUCUGAAUAUGACCCCGGUACGCAGCAGCAUUGUUCAGAAUUCAGAGGGCGAGGCACUCCGCCCUCUGUGUCUUUUUGCAAGAGCAUGGCGGUCCAUUCCGGGCAUUUCGGUUUGGUUGCGGAACGCCAUAGAGAUGGCUACACGUUUCAGUUUCGACGCAGACCACCCCGGUUCAAUGGUGUGGUCAUGCCACCCUGUAGCACUGAAUGAAUAUCAGAGGCUCUUGGCGACGGCCGCAAAGGUCUGUCACCUCGGUCUACUCUAUAUGCGCCCCCUCCAGUUAUGGCUGAAAACACAAGUACAGAGAAGGGCAUGGAAAACGGGCCGUGCCCGCGUUGUGGUCACUCGCAGGUGCUUAAGAGUGCUGAAACAAUGGCAGAACCCUGACUUGUACCAACGUGGUGCCCAGAUGGGUCUGGUAGUGCGGUGGAAAGUGGUCACAACGGACGCGUCGACGACGGGCUGGGGAGCUCACUGUGACGGCUUACCGGCCUCGGGCUACUGGACAGAGUCGGAGAGGACAUGUGGCACAUAA
Molecule: long non-coding RNA, 1023 nt
Organism: Cyprinus carpio (common carp)
Lineage: Eukaryota; Metazoa; Chordata; Actinopteri; Cypriniformes; Cyprinidae
Source: Ensembl